GCAUGCAAGUCGAACGGUAACGGGCCUUCGGGUGCCGACGAGUGGCGAACGGGUGAGUAAUGUAUCGGAACGUACCUUUCAGUGGGGGAUAACGUAGCGAAAGUUACGCUAAUACCGCAUAUUCUGUGAGCAGGAAAGCAGGGGAUCGCAAGACCUUGCGCUGAUUGAGCGGCCGAUAUCAGAUUAGCUAGUUGGUGAGGUAAAGGCUCACCAAGGCGACGAUCUGUAGCGGGUCUGAGAGGAUGAUCCGCCACACUGGAACUGAGACACGGUCCAGACUCCUACGGGAGGCAGCAGUGGGGAAUUUUGGACAAUGGGGGCAACCCUGAUCAGCCAUGCCGCGUGAGUGAAGAAGGCCUUCGGGUUGUAAAGCUCUUUCGGCCGGGAAGAAAUCGUAUGGUGUUAAUACCCUGUGCGGAUGACGGUACCGGCAUAAGAAGCACCGGCUAACUACGUGCCAGCAGCCGCGGUAAUACGUAGGGUGCGAGCGUUAAUCGGAAUUACUGGGCGUAAAGCGUGCGCAGGCGGUUUUGUAAGACAGGCGUGAAAUCCCCGGGCUCAACCUGGGAACUGCGCUUGUGACUGCAAGGCUAGAGUACGGCAGAGGGGGGUGGAAUUCCACGUGUAGCAGUGAAUGCGUAGAGAUGUGGAGGAACACCAAUGGCGAAGGCAGCCCCCUGGGUCGAUACUGACGCUCAUGCACGAAAGCGUGGGUAGCAAACAGGAUUAGAUACCCUGGCUAGUCCACGCCCUAAACGAUGUCAACUAGUGUUGGGUGGGUAAAACCAUUUAGUACCGGAGCUAACGCGUGAAGUUGACCGCCUGGGGAGUACGCCGCACGUUAAACUCAAAGGAAUUGACGGGACCCGCACAAGCGGUGAUGAUGUGAUUAUUCGAUGCAACGCGAAAAACUUACCUACCUUGACA
RNAcentral lists this ribosomal RNA (927 nucleotides) under uncultured beta proteobacterium. Its description in RNAcentral is "bacterial SSU rRNA". It matches the Rfam family "Bacterial small subunit ribosomal RNA", at positions 53 to 986 of the family's 1533-position model. The record is from RNAcentral. Lineage: Bacteria; Pseudomonadati; Pseudomonadota; Betaproteobacteria.